Molecule: ribosomal RNA, 306 nt
Filed under: Clostridioides difficile
Lineage: Bacteria; Bacillati; Bacillota; Clostridia; Peptostreptococcales; Peptostreptococcaceae
Description: partial 23S ribosomal RNA
Rfam family: Bacterial large subunit ribosomal RNA
Source: RNAcentral
UGUGAUGGGGAGCGAAAUUUAGUAGCGAAGUAGCUGAUUUCACACUGUCAAGAAAAGUCUCUAUCGAGGUUAAAGGUACCCGUACCGCAAACCGACACAGGUGGGUGAGGAGAGUAUCCUAAGGCCAGCGAGAGAACUGUUGUUAAGGAACUCGGCAAAAUGACCCCGUAACUUAGAGAUAAGGGGUGCCACCAUCAGGUGGCCGCAGAGAAUAGGCCCAAGCGACUGUUUACCAAAAACAUAGGUUUCUGCUAAGUCGCAAGACGAUGUAUAGGAGCUGACGCCUGCCCGGUGCUGGAAGGUUAA